Molecule: ribosomal RNA, 467 nt
Filed under: uncultured bacterium
Lineage: Bacteria
Description: bacterial SSU rRNA
Rfam family: Bacterial small subunit ribosomal RNA
Source: RNAcentral
CCUACGGGGGGCUGCAGUCGAGGAUAGUCUACAAUGGUCGAGAGAUUGAUAGUGCGACGCCGCGUGAACGAUGAAGCAUUUCGGUGUGUAAAGUUCUUUUCUAUGGGAGCAGGAUAUUGGAUGUGAAUAGUAUCUGAUAUUUGAUAUUACUAUAGGAAUAAGCCACGGCUAACUCCGUGCCAGCAGCCGCGGUAAUACGGGGGUGGCAAGCGUUGUCCGGAAUUACUAGGCGUAAAGGGCAGGUAGGCGGUUGUAUAAGUUAAUCGUUAAAGGCCCAUGCUUACCAUGGGUAAGGCGGUUGAUACUGUAUGACUGGAAGACGGUGGGGGAAGACGGAAUUCCUGGUGUAGCGGUGGAAUGCGCAGAUAUCAGGAGGAACACCAAAGGCGAAGGCAGUCUUCUACGCCGAUUUUGACGCUAAACUGCGAAGGUGUGGGUAUCAAACAGGAUUAGAUACCCGUGUAGUC